AAUUUUGGACAAUGGGGGAAACCCUGAUUCAGCCAUCCCGCGUGUAUGAUGAAGGNCUNNGGGUUNUNAAGUACUUUUGGCAGNNNNNAAAAGGCACCCCCUAAUACGGGAUGCUGCUGACGGUAUCUGCAGAAUAAGCACCGGCUACCUACGUGCCAGCAGCCGCGGUAAUACGUAGGGUGCAAGCUUUAAUCGGAAUUACUGGGCGUAAAGCAUGUGUAGGCGGUUCGGAAGGAAAGAUGUGAAAUCCCAGGGCUCAACCUUGGAACUGCAUUUUUAACUGCCGAGCUAGAGUAUGUCAGAGGUGGGUAGAAUUCCACGUGUAGCAGUGAAAUGCGUAGAUAUGUGGAGGAAUACCGAUGGCGAAGGCGGCCCCCUGGGAUAAUACUGACGCUCAGACACGAAAGCGUGGGGAGCAAACAGG
Molecule: ribosomal RNA, 424 nt
Filed under: uncultured bacterium
Lineage: Bacteria
Description: partial 16S ribosomal RNA
Rfam family: Bacterial small subunit ribosomal RNA
Source: RNAcentral